GGGGAUGUAGCUCAGUGGUAGAACACUUGCCUAGCAUGCACAAGGCCCUGGGUUCCAUCCCCAGCAUGGUCA
Molecule: transfer RNA, 72 nt
Filed under: Heterocephalus glaber (naked mole-rat)
Lineage: Eukaryota; Metazoa; Chordata; Mammalia; Rodentia; Bathyergidae
Rfam family: tRNA
About the family: Transfer RNA (tRNA) molecules are approximately 80 nucleotides in length. Their secondary structure includes four short double-helical elements and three loops (D, anti-codon, and T loops).
Source: Rfam by way of RNAcentral